This 29-nucleotide small RNA is filed under the name Bombyx mori (domestic silkworm). RNAcentral describes it as "ovarian small RNA-30338". Lineage: Eukaryota; Metazoa; Arthropoda; Insecta; Lepidoptera; Bombycidae. The record is from RNAcentral.
UGAAAACUUGUUGGUUAGGUUGGUACGUC